UACAGAGGUCUCAAGCGUUGUUCGGAUUCAUUGGGCGUAAAGGGUGCGUAGGCGGCGCGGUAAGUCGGGUGUGAAAUCUCGGAGCUUAACUCCGAAACUGCAUUCGAUACUGCCGUGCUUGAGGACUGGAGAGGAGACUGGAAUUUACGGUGUAGCGGUGAAAUGCGUAGAUAUCGUAAGGAAGACCAGUGGCGAAGGCGGGUCUCUGGACAGUUCCUGACGCUGAGACGCGAAAGCGUGGGGAGCAAACAGG
Molecule: ribosomal RNA, 253 nt
Filed under: uncultured bacterium
Lineage: Bacteria
Description: partial 16S ribosomal RNA
Rfam family: Bacterial small subunit ribosomal RNA
Source: RNAcentral